Molecule: ribosomal RNA, 468 nt
Filed under: uncultured bacterium
Lineage: Bacteria
Description: partial 16S ribosomal RNA
Rfam family: Bacterial small subunit ribosomal RNA
Source: RNAcentral
GACGAACGCUGGCGGCGUGCUUAACACAUGCAAGUCGAACGGAAAGGCCCUGCUUUUGUGGGGUGCUCGAGUGGCGAACGGGUGAGUAACACGUGAGUAACCUGCCCUUGACUUUGGGAUAACUUCAGGAAACUGGGGCUAAUACCGGAUAGGAGCUCCUGCUGCAUGGUGGGGGUUGGAAAGUUUCGGCGGUUGGGGAUGGACUCGCGGCUUAUCAGCUUGUUGGUGGGGUAGUGGCUUACCAAGGCUUUGACGGGUAGCCGGCCUGAGAGGGUGACCAGGCACCUUGGGACUGAGAGAAGGACCAGACUCCUAAGGGGGGCAAGAGGGGGGAAUAUUGCCCAACGGGGGGAAGCCUGAUGCAGCAACCCCGGGUGCGGGAUGAAGGCCUUCGGGUUGUAAACCGCUUUCGCCUGUGACGAAGCGUGAGUGACGGUAAUGGGUAAAGAAGCACCGGCUAACUACGUG